This 178-nucleotide ribosomal RNA is filed under the name uncultured bacterium. Its description in RNAcentral is "partial 16S ribosomal RNA". It matches the Rfam family "Bacterial small subunit ribosomal RNA", at positions 1321 to 1500 of the family's 1533-position model. The record is from RNAcentral.
UGAAGCCGGAAUUGCUAGUAAUGGCAGGUCAGCAUACUGCCGUGAAUACGUUCCCGGGCCUUGUACACACCGCCCGUCACACCAUGAGAGUUGGGAAUACCCGAAGCCUGUGAGCCAACAAACGAGGCAGCAGUCGAAGGUAGAAUCAAUGAUUGGGGUGAAGUCGUAACAAGGUAUC